Molecule: non-coding RNA, 107 nt
Filed under: Camelus ferus (Wild Bactrian camel)
Lineage: Eukaryota; Metazoa; Chordata; Mammalia; Artiodactyla; Camelidae
Description: Eukaryotic large subunit ribosomal RNA
Rfam family: Eukaryotic large subunit ribosomal RNA
Source: Rfam by way of RNAcentral
AAAGGCAAUGAGCAGCAGGACGGUAGCCGUGGAAGUAGGAAUCUGCUGAGGAGUGUGAAACAACUCACCCGCGGAAUCAACUAGCCCUGAAAAUGGGUGGUGCUGGA